AAUUUUGGACAAUGGGGGAAACCCUGAUCCAGCCAUCCCGCGUGUAUGAUGAAGGCCNNNGGGUUNUCAAGUACUUUUGGCAGNAAANAAAAGGUAUCCCCUAAUACGGGCUGCUGCUGACUGUAUCUGCAGAUGAAGCACCGGCUAACGACGAGCUAUCAGCCGCGGUAAUACGUAGGGUGCAAGCGUUAAUCGGAAUUACUGGGCUUAAAGCGUGUGUAGGCGGGUCGGAAAGAAAGAUGUGAAAUCCCAGGGCUCAACCUUAGAACUGCAUUUUUAACUGCCGAGCUAGAGUAUGUCAGAGGGGGGUAGAAUUCCACGUGUAGCAGUGAAAUGCGUAGAUAUGUGGAGGAAUACCGAUGGCGAAGGCAGCCCCCUGGGAUAAUACUGACGCUCAGACACGAAAGCGUGGGGAGCAAACAGG
RNAcentral lists this ribosomal RNA (424 nucleotides) under uncultured bacterium. RNAcentral describes it as "partial 16S ribosomal RNA". It matches the Rfam family "Bacterial small subunit ribosomal RNA", at positions 360 to 776 of the family's 1533-position model. The record is from RNAcentral.